AAGUCGAGCGGGGGNAGCAAUCCCUAGCGGCAGACGGGUGAGUAACGCGCUCAAUAACGUGCCCCUUGGUUUGGGAUAGCUGGCCGAAAGGCCAGGUAAUACCGGAUGUGGCCUUCGAGAGACAUCUCUUGAAGAAGAAAGCAGUAAUGCGCCAGGGGAUCGGUUUGCGACCUAUCAGCUAGUUGGUGAGGUAACGGCUCACCAAGGCUUCGACGGGUAGCCGGUCUGAGAGGAUGAUCGGCCACACUGGCACUGAGAUACGGGCCAGACUCCUACGGGAGGCAGCAGUGAGGAAUUUUGCGCAAUGGGCGAAAGCCUGACGCAGCGACGCCGCGUGAGGGAUGAAGGUCUUCGGAUCGUAAACUCCUGUCAUUUGAGAACAAGGGGUUCGUGUUAACUGCACGGGCCUUGAUAGUAUCAGAAGAGGAAGAGACGGCUAACUCUGUGCCAGCAGCCGCGGUAAUACAGAGGUCUCAAGCGUUGUUCGGAUUCAUUGGGCGUAAAGAGUGCGUAGGCGGCGGCGUUAGUCGGGUGUGAAAUCCCAGGGCUCAACCCUGGAACUGCAUUCGAUACUGCGUCGCUUCGAGGACUGGAGAGGAGACUGGAAUUCACGGUGUAGCAGUGAAAUGCGUAGAUAUCGUGAGGAAGACCANUGGCGAANGCGAGUCUCUGGACAGUUCCUGACNCUGAAGCACNAANGCCCAGGGGAGCAAACGGGAAUUAGAUACCCGGUAGUCCUGGCAGUAAACGGUGCGCGUUUNGUUNUGGGAGAUUCAACCCC
This 781-nucleotide ribosomal RNA is filed under the name uncultured bacterium. Its description in RNAcentral is "bacterial SSU rRNA". It matches the Rfam family "Bacterial small subunit ribosomal RNA", at positions 59 to 839 of the family's 1533-position model. The record is from RNAcentral.